AGAGAUUUAUUAAUAAUAACUUAGAUAUUAUUUCACUUACUGAAUUAUGUUCUCUCUUUGAGACAUCAUGGGUUUUCGAAGAGAAGAGAAGAGAAGAGAAGCAACUAAAACCCACAAUUCACCAGUCCAAGAUAAAAUUCAGCAACAGCCCAAGAGGCACCAGUCACUGGGGAAUUUCCACCAGGUUGCUUUCUGGACACUCCAGGGACCAGUUUGGCUGGAAUUUCUGUUGUGUUUUGCACAGCACAUGGUGAGUGCUUCAUAUAAAUGACCUUUUGCAUCUGCAGCAUGGGGAGGCAGGGG
Molecule: long non-coding RNA, 303 nt
Filed under: Junco hyemalis (dark-eyed junco)
Lineage: Eukaryota; Metazoa; Chordata; Aves; Passeriformes; Passerellidae
Description: lncRNA (ENSJHYG00000016123.1)
Source: RNAcentral